UACGAAGGGUGCAAGCGUUACUCGGAAUUACUGGGCGUAAAGCGUGCGUAGGCGGUUCGUUAAGUCUGAUGUGAAAGCCCUGGGCUCAACCUGGGAAUGGCAUUGGAAACUGGCGACCUAGAGUGCGGUAGAGGGUAGUGGAAUUCCCGGUGUAGCAGUGAAAUGCGUAGAGAUCGGGAGGAACAUCUGUGGCGAAGGCGACUGCCUGGACCAGCACUGACACUGAGGCACGAAAGCGUGGGGAGCAAACAGG
Molecule: ribosomal RNA, 253 nt
Filed under: uncultured bacterium
Lineage: Bacteria
Description: partial 16S ribosomal RNA
Rfam family: Bacterial small subunit ribosomal RNA
Source: RNAcentral